AACUAUACGAAUACUAUGUAUAGCUAUUUCUGCUCAAUGUUAUUAUAAAUUGCCGCAGUACUUUGACUGUGCUAAGGUAGCAUAAUCAUUUGGCUUAUAAUUGAAGUCUAGUAUGAAGGAAGUCAUGGGGGUUAGCUGUUUCCGAAACGUUUAUUUAAUUUGCCUGAGGGGUGAAAAUGCCCCUAAUUACAUAAUAGACGAGAAGACCCUUGAAAUUUUAAAUAUAGGCAGUGUAGAGCUAAACUUUUUGUUGGGGCGACAAAGUAGCAGAUAACCUACUAAUUGUUAUUAGCAGAAAAUUGUAUGAAUAAAUAAAUUACUCUAGGGAUAACAGCAUAAUAUUUAAAAGUUUGUGACCUCGAUGUUGGACUAGGAUAAUAUAGUCUAGAAGACUUUUAUUUCUGCUCUGUUCG
RNAcentral lists this ribosomal RNA (413 nucleotides) under Bradybaena phaeogramma phaeogramma. Its description in RNAcentral is "partial 16S rRNA". It matches the Rfam family "Bacterial large subunit ribosomal RNA", at positions 1828 to 2583 of the family's 2925-position model. Lineage: Eukaryota; Metazoa; Mollusca; Gastropoda; Stylommatophora; Camaenidae. The record is from RNAcentral.